Long non-coding RNA from Alosa sapidissima (American shad), 469 nucleotides. RefSeq lists it as uncharacterized. Lineage: Eukaryota; Metazoa; Chordata; Actinopteri; Clupeiformes; Clupeidae. The transcript is spliced from 3 exons. The record is from RefSeq and is a predicted model, not a curated record.
GUCCACUGGGAAACGGCCGAAUGAAUGGACACGGUGGCGAGGACUCAACUGAGCCCAGAGGAUGUGUGGCGUCUCUGUUUGCUCUUUUGUUUGGCGAAGAGGCUUCCCGGAGGUCAGAGUGACAACAGAACGGACAUACGCGGGAUGCCAAGAGAAAACGAUUGACUAAUCCGUUCAGCGCGAGACCAAAGGCUGGACUAACGGAGUUCCGACAUGGGUGGCAAGGACCAUUGGAAGCCUCGCGUCAACAGGACCUGAUAUGCGCAGUAGAGUUCUCCGGAGGAACCUCGGCGGAACAACACUAACUUGAAUGCUCCAGUGGAAUCCGGCCGGCAGUAAUGCAUCGCUAUGGGUCCCCGCCGCGGAGUUGGCUGGGACUUCGCCUACGCCUCAGUGAGAAGCCGCUGCUGGAGGAGAAGGGUGGAGUCCUGUGCCAACACCAGGCCUGUCCAGACCCUCGUCCUGCUGC